This is a long non-coding RNA of Lathyrus oleraceus (garden pea), 1612 nucleotides long. RefSeq lists it as uncharacterized. The record is from RefSeq and is a predicted model, not a curated record. NCBI's taxonomy places the organism in Eukaryota, Viridiplantae, Streptophyta, Magnoliopsida, Fabales, Fabaceae. The transcript has 5 exons.
GAUUAGGGUUUCGCUGUUGUAUGGUAGAUUAAAACAAACAUCUCUGCAAAGUCCUUUUGGUGCUCAGAAACGGAUUGCCUCUUUGAUGCUUGUUCUGGAAAAGUGAAUGUUUAGUAAAAGCAUGAGCAACUUCGGUUCUUUUCACGUGGCCUUGGUUUUGAUCUCAGCUCUGGAUGGCUAUUAGGGAGGUUUGAUGGAUAUCAUUUGGAUUGAAAUCCAUUGGACAGUUGGCAGUUCGGUUGGGAUUAUUGGAGAUUGAAAUAGGAGACUGAAUUAUGUUAUCUCCUUUUGAAAGUUGCAGAUUUUGUUCUAUCGAGUAACAGUUUGUUACAAGUUGGGUUAAUAAAAUGUGUUAUGGUUGAGUUUUUUACUGUCAUGAUGUUGAUUGUUUUGCAGGUCUAGUAUUGAUGAACCGUUGUUGCAGCUAGAGUCCAAGUCACCUAACAUGAACUUUCAUCCACAUAAAUGCAAUUUCCUUCUUUGAAAGUCCUAGCUUCAUCAAGUUCACUAUCCGUCAAGGUUCUGUUGAUAUCAAACUCAAGCCUUUUGCACCAAAGCUAUGAUUCUAGUGCGUUGAAUUUGGUUUGUGGAACCUUGUUGUCGAUUGUGGAGUUCGAACAUAACUUUGAUGCGCAAGUGAAGCCGUUGUUGUUGGAGUGAAGAUGCAAUUCUGGAUGUCUUGUUAUUUGUUGUACGCUCAUGUGUUGCAACAAUUAAAUCAACUUGAGUUUCGAUAGGUGUGGCCCGGCUAUGAUGCUGAAGUUUGCAGAAACAAUGGCUGCAUCAACAAAACAGUUGCUUUCCACUUGAUCAGAUAUUACUUGUGCAGAGGUUAUGUUGUGGUUUGCAGGUCUUGGAAGUACUGCAUUUGAGUAGCAUUCUUGUGCAUCAUUUGUGGAAUGAAGUGAGAAAUUAGCGGCACCCCAUCCACUGAUCCCUCACGACACUUUGUUCGGUGAAUUAUUGGCACUGUCAACAUCAUCGUGAUUUAAAGGAACCACGAAGUAUGAGGCGCCGCUCUUUCAUGUAAACAUGCAAAGCUUCAAUAAGCAGUGGCCCUUCAAUAAUGAGCUUACAACAACACGCAACUUGCUUCUAACAGAUUUAGAAUUUUCGAUCUCUAAUUCAGACACCUCAAACUCUUCACACAAUUGUGCUGAAAUAGCUGGAUGAAGAUCAGGUAAAGCUCUCCGAGAUUAAAGUUGCUCGUUUUUACUGCAUGCCAUGGGAGAAUUUGUAGUGUGUUGAUCAUCCUUCAAAUGAGUCCUUCAACUCAUUUCCCCAUUGUUUGAUUUACAGGGCAUCUGAAGACUUUAAAGAAACGUUAGAACGUGAGCCUUAUCUUCUCACUCCUGAACAAAGAUGUAAACUUUCUUGAGAAGCUGUAACUCAAAGAUUUAUGGAAUAUUCCGAUCUUGACCAAAUCCUUUUAGAAUUAGCAAAUGGAGGCUUAGGAUUCGCUCACUACUGUCUCACUGGGAACGAGUUGCCGAGAUUAGGUACCGGAACAAAACCUGGGAUACGUGAUUACAACAGGCAGCAUUGUAAAGUUUAAAAUGCCGGUGAUUAGCUUUAGUGCCUCAAAUUUGUAGUUUACGGUUGUUUGUAAUUA